AAACUUUCAACAACGGAUCUCUUGGCUCUGGCAUCGAUGAAGAACGCAGCGAAAUGCGAUAAGUAAUGUGAAUUGCAGAACUCAGUGAAUCAUCGAAUCUUUGAACGCACAUUGCGCCCCCUGGUAUUCCGGGGGGCAUGCCUGUUCGAGCGUCAUUA
Molecule: ribosomal RNA, 158 nt
Filed under: Helotiales sp.
Lineage: Eukaryota; Fungi; Ascomycota; Leotiomycetes; Helotiales
Description: 5.8S ribosomal RNA
Rfam family: 5.8S ribosomal RNA
About the family: 5.8S ribosomal RNA (5.8S rRNA) is a component of the large subunit of the eukaryotic ribosome. It is transcribed by RNA polymerase I as part of the 45S precursor that also contains 18S and 28S rRNA. Functionally, it is thought that 5.8S rRNA may be involved in ribosome translocation.
Source: RNAcentral